UCGCACAGGGGCAAGUUACCGC
This 22-nucleotide microRNA is filed under the name Columba livia (rock pigeon). RNAcentral describes it as "cli-miR-1451-5p". The record is from miRBase by way of RNAcentral. Lineage: Eukaryota; Metazoa; Chordata; Aves; Columbiformes; Columbidae.